UGAAUAUCUUAAAGGGAAAGUGUUAGAUGUAUAUCCUAAAUAUAAGAAAGAAGCUAAGGAUCAUCUAUCAAAAGUUGUUAAGUUGAAUCCAUUAGAAGAAACACUCCUUCCCCUUUUCAACGAAAUAACUGAGUCAUAUUAGAUCCUAAUAUCUUCGGAAGGUCUUCAGAACAAGAAAGAAUGACCAUAGAGUUCUGGCGGGAAGGUGAUAUACUUUAUAAGCUUCAUCAUCCAAAUGUGGUGGAAUUUUAUGGGGUAGUUCAAGAUGGACUAAGAGGAACAAUGGCAACUGUCACGAAGUUCACAAUGGAUGGUUCUCUUCGACGUGUUUUUCUACAAAAGGAUAGAGAUUCACGGUGGCUAAAAUAGGGUGUUGAGAUCAUCAAAGAUUUCUUGAAAUAGCAUACUGUUCCAGACUGUAACUUUAGCACCAAUGGAAACAAGUUAUUUUCCGGUGAACGGCUCGAAUGAGUUAAGAGACAACGAGUUCAUUCCAUUAGCUUCCAAAUAAUGAUUGUAACAAAACUCACAGUCUCUAUCUCUCACUCCCUCUGCAUCAGGUGGACAUUAUAGGAGUUGCCUGCUAUUCUUCUAAGGAUUUAUGGACUUGGAAAAAGGAAGGCAUUGUAUAGCAGGGAAAACAAAUAAAACCCAUGAUCUACACAAGUCCAAUGUGCUUGAAAGACCAAAAGUUAUUUACAAUGAAAAAUAAGAAAGUAUGUGAUGUGGAUGCAUAUCUGCAGUGCCA
Molecule: long non-coding RNA, 748 nt
Organism: Vicia villosa (hairy vetch)
Lineage: Eukaryota; Viridiplantae; Streptophyta; Magnoliopsida; Fabales; Fabaceae
Exons: 4
Source: RefSeq, a predicted model, not a curated record